GGCCAUUCUGUAUUUCCACCAACAGUGCAAAGGUUCCAAUUUAUGCAGAUGUGUUUUGAAGCAGGAUCAUCGAAUAGCAAAGUCCCUGGUCUUUCAGCUCCAUUACUCCCUCUCCUCAUCAUCUGCUCCCGUAGACAUUCAACACUCUUUCCUAAAACGAGCUUACCACACAAAUGGCCUGUGAUGGAGAUUUAUAGUGCUCCCCAGUGGUCCCAGCUCUCCACUCCUUCCUGGGCACCCAGCACAAUACACUUCUUAGCUCCGUGGCAAGUUGGAAAGGGCCAGUGACCAGUUUUGGCCAAUAAAUGUAAGUGGAAGUGGCAAAGGUCACCUGUGCAAGGAUGGAGUGAAAAACCUCUGUACUCUUUCUUCCCUAACAUAGGAAAUCUGCAAGCCACCAGUACUGCCUUACAAAAAAAGGUGCUUCCCCUUCCUCCAACCCCAUAUGCAAAUCCCAACAUACCAGAUGUGAAAGCAAGAAGGAAUGGAAAGAGAAGUCUACUCACAGGUCCCAUUCUGAGGCCUCCAGCCAAGGGGACGCCAUGGUGAAAACACUGCAGAGAGACCAUUAUUGUGCAAUGCUUCCCAUAUUAGUGGAUAUCAGAUGAGAAAUCUCAUGUUGGAGUAAGAUCACCACCAGAAUCCUGUUAGCAUGUUAGCUAAAACCUGAAGACCCUACAGCUAUCACUGACUGGUGAGUGAAGAAACUAUGAUUAAGAGGAAGGCAGAAUUGAGCAUCAACAUGCACAAAGGGUUAUGAAGCCAUGGGAACGAUUCUCCCAUGGGGGAGAAGGUGGUAGAAAUACUCACUUCCAUCCACAUGGUUGGAGUAGUGGUCAGAAUGUGGAAGAGGGUCUUCAAGGGCUCUGGAAGAAGACCCAAUCAGAGAACUGUGAUUCAAUGGGAGAGAGGGCAGAACCACAAUGAAUGAAAUCCUUUUUCCCUGACACAUACAAUGUUAGUGGAUACAGACUAACCAGCAUCAGUGUCAAUGGAAAACAAAAAUCACUCCGAUGUAGAAAGCUAAGAUGACAGAGAAAAUAAAA
Molecule: long non-coding RNA, 1046 nt
Filed under: Homo sapiens (human)
Lineage: Eukaryota; Metazoa; Chordata; Mammalia; Primates; Hominidae
Description: HSALNT0237228
Source: RNAcentral